UUCUAAUAAUAAAUUUUUAUAUAAUAACUAUAUUUUAUAUUCACUGGUAAUUUUGGUUUGUCAUAAGCUUGUUUCUCAAUUUGUGCAGGUUUCCUAAUGUUUGGGCUUUGCGAUUAGUACGCCAAUUAUUAGUUUGGGAUCCACUCAACAAUAUUCAAAGAAGGCCAGAAGUUUACAUGGAAAGAUAGUGGUCAUUGUGGUGACAUUUGUUGUGGUCAUAUCACUUCUGAUUAUCAUCUCCUUGGUGUAUUGGUUGGUGAUUAUAAAGAGAAGAAGAGAUUAUUAUGGGACAGAAGAGGAAGCCUGAUCAUCCC
This is a non-coding RNA of Camellia sinensis, 314 nucleotides long. NCBI's taxonomy places the organism in Eukaryota, Viridiplantae, Streptophyta, Magnoliopsida, Ericales, Theaceae. The record is from RefSeq and is a predicted model, not a curated record.